AGAACUAAAUCCCCAUCAACAACCACCCCACUAGGGACAGUCUCGACUCUCCACCAUAUAAAAAAAACAACUAAAACUCAAAAUAAAUUCAAAAUCCCCUCAAAAUAAAUUAAAUAAAGAGGCGGAAAAAAGAUGAAAAAAACCGCAGCAGCCAGCACCAACUCCAAUGAGAGAAUAUCGCAAAAAGCAAACGGCAAACAAUAAAAAAUAAAUUAAAAA
RNAcentral lists this long non-coding RNA (219 nucleotides) under Linum usitatissimum (flax). Its description in RNAcentral is "long non-coding RNA (LUSI_LNC004407)". The record is from RNAcentral. Lineage: Eukaryota; Viridiplantae; Streptophyta; Magnoliopsida; Malpighiales; Linaceae.